Molecule: long non-coding RNA, 258 nt
Organism: Osmia bicornis bicornis
Lineage: Eukaryota; Metazoa; Arthropoda; Insecta; Hymenoptera; Megachilidae
Exons: 3
Source: RefSeq, a predicted model, not a curated record
AAUUAUUCACGGUCGCGUUACUAUUUUUAUUUUUAAUUUUUUUUUUUAAUUGCUCGAUAUAUCCGGAAUUAGAGUCAAAGCACCACUGAAGAGGAGUCUUGGGCGUUGCUCCAUAAGGAAAGAGUAUGAAUUUUUUUAUUUUGCCGAGUUCCUGGAUAUCCUGAUGAUGGCUUUCUUCACGACUUCCGUCUUGAUGAAUCUUCUCCUACAAGGCAGCCUCCUACCUGGUGUUGUCCAUCCUUCUACUUGACUGUCGGA